Long non-coding RNA from Pezoporus occidentalis (night parrot), 1671 nucleotides. RefSeq lists it as uncharacterized. The record is from RefSeq and is a predicted model, not a curated record. The transcript is spliced from 2 exons. NCBI's taxonomy places the organism in Eukaryota, Metazoa, Chordata, Aves, Psittaciformes, Psittacidae.
AAAACGAGGAAAAGCGAAGAAACAGAUCCCCAGAAGGCAGGAAUGCGCGCAGGAAACGGCAAGGAGAACAGGAAUACAGUGGCUUGACAGUCACUUUUAUUGCAGCCCCAUUCCACCGUGAAAAAUGUCGUGUACAGUAUCUUAAAUGGAUCAUACUACGGCUUACAUCUUUAAUGCCUGAUCACAGUGCCAGAGGAGUUCAAAGAGCCCUUGCUAAAACCAGCAGCAGAAUGCCACGACGCUUAUACAAGCCACUGAAGUACCUACUUUGUAGCCAGAAGUAAUUAUGUUCAUGUGCUAAUCUCUUCUGGAGAAACUCAGUGUAACAGCAGAGAUCCCAUCGAUCAGAUAAGAAAGAGCUCCAUGCAAGACAAAGGGCUGCUGCUUUUCUUGAAAACACAGCUAAAAGGCAAACCAGCAUUCUGUGUGCGACAGCGCAAGGUACAGGCAUUCCACCGCUUGGAACUAAGAACGUCAGUGCUGGGAACACAGACCGAUGAUAAGGAAUAACUGCAUCUGCUUCCUUCCUUUGCUUGAGAGAGCACAAAUCUGCAUCUCAAGAUAGUGCCACAACUAUGAGGUCCUUGACUUUGCAAGCUCAGGAACCUCAGGUUUAAGAAUCCACUGCUGUGAGGCUGGAAAGCCAGUUGCCUUUAUAGAUCUCACUGUUACUCCCCACUUUUCUUAAAAUAAGGAUGGAAUGAGACAGAAUCUUGAACCUUCACCCGAACUAUGCAAUACUUCCAAAGGUUACUAGUUAAUGCUGUUGAGCCAGUUUAAGUCAGUACAAAAUAUUUCAGAUAGAAAGCAUUCAAGAGCCAUCACUAAGGGAUACAGAUUUAAGCAUGGAAGCAGGCGUAACGGAGCUUAUGCUCUGGAGUUUCACAGGACUAGAUCCAAGUUAGCAAGUGCAGCUUCUGGGAAACAAAUGACCCUGUGCAGUCCAAGCAGCGGCAAAAGGUCUUUGUAAAAUGACUGCUAAUCUACCUUCAAACCAGGGAGGAGCUAAAGUAGGGAGUGAGGGGGGAGAACAGCAGGCAGGCAGAAAUUGUAACUUUACUUUUAUCUAAUAGCCUCGGACAGCUAAACUGCUUGUUACAGCUUACCAACAUGAGUCCAAACCUGAGCUAGAAGGCUUACGUGUUUGUUAUUCAGGUGGUUACUGUUUGGGAAGUUGUAAAUCCUCUGUUCUCUAUGGCUCAGGGCACGCUAAAGAGCCUUAAAAGCUGCUGCCAGCAACGACAGGGAGAAUAUUGUCAGUAUUUGUAUUACCACAAAAAGAUAAAUAUACACCAAUAUCAGUCAUACCAAAACCUCAAACUGUAGGUGUAGGAAAUAACUUUGGAACAUCAAGAUGAGACAGUUGGCAGAAUUUUACUGCUCCCUUUUUAAUUUUUCAGUACACUUCACGUUCUUUUAUCUGGGGCUAUUUGUGCACAUUAGCAAGGUGAAAAGAUUCCGGUCUCUCCCAAAAGCCCCUAUUCACAAGUGUAUUUGGGCCUCAUUAAUUUAAAACCAAUACAAAAUACUUUCCAAAGCUUUCUAAGUGCCCAAAUGCAAUAAAACCUUACCAUUAUACUGCAGCAUAAAAUACUUAACGUUUAAUUUAGGCUGUGCACGUUAAUGUUUUACUGUAAUCUUUUCAGGUAUAAAACUGUUUUACCCACUGCA